UACGUAGGGUGCAAGCGUUGUCCGGAAUUAUUGGGCGUAAAGAGCUCGUAGGCGGUUUGUUGCGUCGGCCGUGAAAACCUGCAGCUUAACUGUGGGCCUGCGGCCGAUACGGGCAGACUUGAGUUCGGUAGGGGAGACUGGAAUUCCUGGUGUAGCGGUGAAAUGCGCAGAUAUCAGGAGGAACACCGGUGGCGAAGGCGGGUCUCUGGGCCGAUACUGACGCUGAGGAGCGAAAGCGUGGGGAGCAAACAGG
This 253-nucleotide ribosomal RNA is filed under the name uncultured bacterium. RNAcentral's name for it is "partial 16S ribosomal RNA". It matches the Rfam family "Bacterial small subunit ribosomal RNA", at positions 524 to 776 of the family's 1533-position model. The record is from RNAcentral.